This 301-nucleotide ribosomal RNA is filed under the name uncultured bacterium. RNAcentral describes it as "partial 16S ribosomal RNA". It matches the Rfam family "Bacterial small subunit ribosomal RNA", at positions 509 to 809 of the family's 1533-position model. The record is from RNAcentral.
CAGUCGCCGCGGUAAUACAGAGGGUGCGAGCGUUAAUCGGAUUUACUGGGCGUAAAGCGUGCGUAGGCGGCUUUUUAAGUCGGAUGUGAAAUCCCUGAGCUUAACUUAGGAAUUGCAUUCGAUACUGGGAAGCUAAAGUAUGGGAGAGGAUGGUAGAAUUCCAGGUGUAGCGGUGAAAUGCGUAGAGAUCUGGAGGAAUACCGAUGGCGAAGGCAGCCAUCUGGCCUAAUACUGACGCUGAGGUACGAAAGCAUGGGGAGCAAACAGGAUUAGAUACCCGAGUAGUCCCUGUCUCUUAUAA